UAACAUUUUUGUUUUUAAAAAGGUUUUGAAAACCUUUGGAGGGAAUAACACUUCCCAACUUUAC
This 64-nucleotide transfer RNA is filed under the name Facelina bostoniensis. RNAcentral's name for it is "tRNA-Ser". Lineage: Eukaryota; Metazoa; Mollusca; Gastropoda; Nudibranchia; Facelinidae. The record is from RNAcentral.